This is a long non-coding RNA of Poeciliopsis prolifica (blackstripe livebearer), 653 nucleotides long. RefSeq lists it as uncharacterized. The record is from RefSeq and is a predicted model, not a curated record. The transcript has 3 exons. Lineage: Eukaryota; Metazoa; Chordata; Actinopteri; Cyprinodontiformes; Poeciliidae.
CCACCUGGACCAUCUUGGUGUGAAGACCCUGUCCCAUCUCUGUCCCUCCAUGAGUCAACAACACAGACCCGUCUCUGUAGAUGUGGACGAGAGCACCAGCCUAAAGACAAAGAACACAAUGAUUAAUGAAGAUUUCUCCAUUCGGGUCGGGUCGGUAGAACCGAGCCUGGUAUCAGUGGGUCAACAUGCAGCAUGGGAUCAGACUGAACUCCUGAGUUCCACCAGAACCAGAACCGACCCUGUCUUACCUUCCUUCCAUUCACGAAGAAGACGAGCUCAUCGGAGCCGGUCCGGUUCUGAGAGUCGGCCAUGGUUCUGUUCCUGCUGGUCUCCAUCCUGCUGCUGCUAAUGAAGCUCCUUCAGAGGAAGGCUCCUCCUCUUCCUCCUCCCAGAACCUGCAGUCCAACGGGAGUCGGAUCCGUUCCAGACAUGUUGAUGAUUCACAUCAGUCCUUCACUCUGAGCUUCAUGUGACUCACGACUUCGAAUCGAUUCGAUUUGCCCUCAAGAAACAUCCACAAAGACUCUGCUGUUAGUCACCAUGAAGACGAUGCAGCGUGUAAAUGAGACGCAGCGCGGCGUUUUAAUGUGAAACCUUUAACUGGUCAGAGCUACGAGCAGGGAGCCGAACACACAGCCCUGAGGAACUCCACU